AUGGAGAAGACCCUCCUGCCUCAGCCUCCCCCAGUGCCCCACCCCACCCGUGUUACGUUAACAGGGUGUUACGCCGUGGUUAUUGACUGUGACUUUCACAGCCUGAUCCGGUACCACUCUCGGCCUGGCACCACCUGUAUCUUAGGGUCCGUCUUCCGCCUUCCCAGCCACUCCCAGCGCCCCUGGGCCUGGCCUCCGCCUGUCUCUCCACGUCUCUUCCCUUCGCUCUCCGUCUCUGGGUCUCACGAGCAGGACCCGGGCUCUCCGGCCCCCAGCAGGGUAAGGAAGACCCGGCUUCGGGACACCGCCCGGAGUCUCGGGGUCUGCAGACAGAGGAGGAAGCCGGGUCUGGGUCUGCAGAAGAGGAGGAAGCCGGGUCUGAGCCUGCGAGUGUAGACAGAGGAGGAAGCACGUUCCGGGUACGGCCCGCGUGGACUGCCAAGGCCUCCGUGUCCUGACCCUGUCGUCCCGGGCUUCGGACCCCGGCAGGGUGGGUGGAGCGCAAGGUGGUCCCAGCCCCGGGCCCUCGACAGAAGCAGCCCGAUUCCGUCCGACC
Molecule: long non-coding RNA, 556 nt
Filed under: Fukomys damarensis (Damara mole-rat)
Lineage: Eukaryota; Metazoa; Chordata; Mammalia; Rodentia; Bathyergidae
Description: lncRNA (ENSFDAG00000028378.1)
Source: RNAcentral